Molecule: long non-coding RNA, 1444 nt
Filed under: Lynx canadensis (Canada lynx)
Lineage: Eukaryota; Metazoa; Chordata; Mammalia; Carnivora; Felidae
Description: lncRNA (ENSLCNG00005018566.1)
Source: RNAcentral
GGAGGAUGGGGGAGGCGUGUGGAACAGAACAGCUGUCCACCGGCGUUGGAGGCUCGGCCUCUCAUUUUGUUCGCGUAUCUGUCUCAGGCGGUGUUCCCGAAAGCAGACCCUGAGAUGAGAACGCAGGUAGAAGUGACUUAUUAGGGGGAGAUUCUUCAGCGAAUGUCUCCUCCUGGAAACACUGGGAGGAGAGUGGGGAAGCGGGGCGACGCAGUGAGCAGGCAACACCGAGCCCGAGGGCAAGUCCGGCUCCAUCCCGCCGGGGACAGCGCGUGUUCCACUACGGAGUGUCUCCGUCAGGGACAAAGCUGUCCUUGGUCAAGGUGGCCCCAAGAGGAUGCCCUGCACUCGGCAAAGUAGGCUUGGCAACCCGAGACCCGUCUUCAGGUGCCGGAGGUGCUGGGGCACGCAGACAGGCAGCCUUAUCCAACAGUACCAAAAAUCGGGAAAGAAGAACAAAACAAAGAACGGAGAAAAGGCUGGAUAGCUUUGCGGCAACAGAGCUCAGCCCACGCCCCCCCUCUCACCGCAGCCCACGUAUGGGACGGGCCUGCAGAGGUGAAGAUCUACUCAUCAGCAGUGUGAGCUUAGGAACUGUUAACCCAUCUAAGGCAUGGCUUUCUCAUCCAGAAAGUGGCGGUGAUCACAUCAACCUCGCCAGACCGCUGUGAAAAGCCAAGCCGCAGCCAUCGUGCACUGCCUUCGCCAUUCCCGCCCCCCAGGUUCUCUGCCACUGGCCAAGCGGCUUGGCCCACGGAAGGCCCUGGCAAAAGCAGAGAGCUCCAAGGAAGAGGCCCGGGGACUCUCCUCGCUUGGGCGUCCUGUCUCCGUCUACAGCGGGACCCAUUGGCACCUCAGCUCUCAGUGAGGCCCGGUUCCCUUCUUUAACCUUUUUGGGCCUCAGUGCUAACAGCUGCCGCUGGGGCUCCUCUGGGGGGCCGCCGUCAGCAGGUUUCAGGGCUCCAUUUACCCUGUCCCGGGGAUCUGCGAUCGGCCCCCUCAUCAAGUCUUGUCAAAGGAGACCACCAGGGAGGAUUCUUUUUCUCACCUAACCUGGGGUGAUACUCUCCUGGAUUAUUAUGAUCCACUCCUGGCUGACUGUUUCUUAAACACGUUUUAAAAAUCGAAAUGAUUUGUCUUAGAGGAAUAUUAUGUCUCCAUGUCAUUGUGAACCCGAUAUGCUGGUUGUCACCUUUCUAACACACAUUAAAAUAAAUCCAUGACUUGAAAAAAGAAACGUGCUUGCUGUGUCCCACCUAAAAUCACCUCUGGUACCCCCGUGCUCUGUCGAGCCCCUUUGCACAGGACUGAGUCGCUGUGGAGUGAAGCUCUCUGCUCAGAACACAUGCUUUCUUUCCCAAUGCCGUCCUUGAAAUUAGGAACCACGCUGCCACAUGGCAGCAGCUGCGGAUGGGGCACAGGCACGCCGUGCAGGAACGUCUUC